Molecule: transfer RNA, 89 nt
Filed under: Cordylochernes scorpioides
Lineage: Eukaryota; Metazoa; Arthropoda; Arachnida; Pseudoscorpiones; Chernetidae
Description: tRNA-Thr
Rfam family: tRNA (bases 7-78)
About the family: Transfer RNA (tRNA) molecules are approximately 80 nucleotides in length. Their secondary structure includes four short double-helical elements and three loops (D, anti-codon, and T loops).
Source: RNAcentral
UCUGAAACAAGGUUAGCCUAGUGGACAUGGCAUCUGCCUGGUAAGCGGAACACUGUGAGUUCGAUUCCCAUCCCUGGACACUUUCUGAA